This 85-nucleotide transfer RNA is filed under the name Thalictrum thalictroides. It matches the Rfam family "tRNA". From Rfam's summary of the family: Transfer RNA (tRNA) molecules are approximately 80 nucleotides in length. Their secondary structure includes four short double-helical elements and three loops (D, anti-codon, and T loops). The record is from Rfam by way of RNAcentral. Lineage: Eukaryota; Viridiplantae; Streptophyta; Magnoliopsida; Ranunculales; Ranunculaceae.
GGAUCAUUAGCUCAAAUGGUAGAGCACUAGAGAAUAACAUACUAGUACAUCUCAAGAGGUGGUGGUUCAAGUCCAUCAUGAUCCU